Eleginops maclovinus (Patagonian blennie) is the source of this 1118-nucleotide long non-coding RNA. RefSeq lists it as uncharacterized. The transcript is spliced from 3 exons. The record is from RefSeq and is a predicted model, not a curated record. Lineage: Eukaryota; Metazoa; Chordata; Actinopteri; Perciformes; Eleginopidae.
CUGAACUGUGCUGCUAUAGCUCAGACCAACACAUGGGACACAUUUUGUGGGAUUUAAGCGCUUCUAUCUUUUGCUGCAGGAUGUUGCUGCUCAUCUGACUCCAUGCUGAUUUCUGCAAGAUCCAGAGAUGGAGCCUGCCUCUUUAUUUCCAGCUGAAAGGCACUGAUGUCUGCGAGGAAUCUGCAUCACACCGGGUCGGGAUGUUCUGACCAAAGGCUGCUGGCUCUCCAAACUGGACUGGUUGUUCUGCAGGGCUUACAGCGUCACUGAGUGUUGAUCCUGCUGAUAAGAGAAAUAAGGAGCAAAUAAAUGUGCCAUUAACCUAGAAACAUGUUUUUUUUCUGCCUUUUUCCCUCCUCAGUCAUACAUUUGUUCCUCAUCACUUACAGACGUAGGGUCAGAACAGCUCUGUACUCAGAAAGCUGGAGAUCACAGUGUGGAAAAGCCCCCAGCGAACUGGCAGAAACGCUGUCCCCAUUACAGCAGCAGCAGGGGUCAGGCCAUGGCAGCAAGCAUCCAACCUGCCCCAAAUUGGCUGCAAAAUGACCAAUUACCUGAGUGAAGGCUGGGGAGAAAGAACUUGGAAAAAUAUGGCUUUUACUUAAUUCAGCUAAACUGUAAAAGAAGCUAGUGUCACACCGAUGUUUGUUACACGGUACAGUAUCCCCUGUUAAGUGAAGAUCUUGGCAUCAAAUCGUAAACGAAUAAAAAAAUCAAUUUUCAGGAUGAUCAAAAUGUAGAGAUGUGAGUGAACUGCAGGAAUAUAAUCCGUACAGCUAUAAGGUUGGGUAUUAUUUCACCAACCUUGAAAACAAUGAUUGAUUAAACAUCCUUACAUGUAGGUCUUAUUGAAUUAAUUUCCCUGCAAAUGGAAAACAUGCAAAUUCGCCAAUUAAGUCAUUUGCCCAUGGAGAGCCGGGCUGCUUGACGUUCAGCUGCCACUGCGCCUUUAGUCUGAAACCCCUUUUUAGAUUUGUUAAGAGUUAAGUCUCCAACAAAGACAGGAAGGAGGUCAGCACUCAGCCAACACCUGAAUGCGCCUCUCUUUUUUGUGCUCCCCUUGAUCCUCACGGUCUGUGCCUGUCAUUAGUCUUAAUGAUGGAAAAUUGUCAUGUUGA